RNAcentral lists this ribosomal RNA (70 nucleotides) under Staphylococcus aureus. RNAcentral describes it as "partial 16S ribosomal RNA". It matches the Rfam family "Bacterial small subunit ribosomal RNA", at positions 1 to 70 of the family's 1533-position model. RNAcentral also lists the same sequence under 8 other names. The record is from RNAcentral. Lineage: Bacteria; Bacillati; Bacillota; Bacilli; Caryophanales; Staphylococcaceae.
UUUAUGGAGAGUUUGAUCCUGGCUCAGGAUGAACGCUGGCGGCGUGCCUAAUACAUGCAAGUCGAGCGAA